Molecule: non-coding RNA, 119 nt
Filed under: Ilyobacter polytropus
Lineage: Bacteria; Fusobacteriati; Fusobacteriota; Fusobacteriia; Fusobacteriales; Fusobacteriaceae
Also listed under: 1 other name
Description: MoCo sequence
Rfam family: Molybdenum/Tungsten riboswitch aptamer (Moco RNA motif)
Source: RNAcentral
UUUAUAUUGCUACUCCGAGUGUAAAUUCCUAAGGAUAAAAUCUAGGGAACUGCACCACUGGGUAGACAGGGAAACCGGUCUGCCUCCCGCGUUUGGAAAGGAGCCAAAAAAAGGAGGGG